RNAcentral lists this ribosomal RNA (547 nucleotides) under Bombina orientalis. RNAcentral's name for it is "partial 16S ribosomal RNA". It matches the Rfam family "Bacterial large subunit ribosomal RNA", at positions 1839 to 2592 of the family's 2925-position model. The record is from RNAcentral. Lineage: Eukaryota; Metazoa; Chordata; Amphibia; Anura; Bombinatoridae.
CCACAUAUAAGAGGUAACGCCUGCCCAGUGACCAUGUGUUCAACGGCCGCGGUAUUCUGACCGUGCAAAGGUAGCGUAAUCACUUGUCUUUUAAAUAAAGACUAGUAUGAAUGGCAUCACGAGAGUUCAACUGUCUCCCCCACCCAAUCAGUGAAACUGAUCUCCCCGUGCAGAAGCGGGGAUAAAACCAUAAGACGAGAAGACCCCAUGGAGCUUUAAACUAAAGGCACUAGCUCUUAAUUUACCCCAAGGACAAAACAUCAAACCAGUUAAAGUGACCUGUCGUUUUCGGUUGGGGCGACCACGGAGAAGAACAAAUCCUCCGAGAUGAAAGGGUAAACCCUUAGCCAAGACCCACAAUUCUAAGCAAUAGAACAUCUAACGCACCGAUCCAAUCAAAUUGAUCAACGAACCAAGUUACCCUGGGGAUAACAGCGCAAUCUAUUUUCAGAGUUCAUAUCGACAAAUAGGUUUACGACCUCGAUGUUGGAUCAGGGCCUCCUAGCGGUGCAGCCGCUGCUAAGGGUUCGUUUGUUCAACGAUUAAA